AACGUAGGACGCAAGCGUUAUCCGGAGUUACUGGGCGUAAAGCGCGGGCAGGCGGCUCGAAACGUCUGAUGUGAAAUCUCCUCGCUCAACGGGGAGAGGCCAUUGGAAACGGUCGGGCUGGAGGGCAGUAGAGGCAGGCGGAAUUCCGGGUGGAGUGGUGAAAUGCGUAGAGAUCCGGAGGAACACCAGUGGCGAAGGCGACUUUCUGGCCUGUUCUUGACGCUGAGGCGCGAAAGCUAGGGGAGCAAACGGG
Molecule: ribosomal RNA, 253 nt
Filed under: uncultured bacterium
Lineage: Bacteria
Description: partial 16S ribosomal RNA
Rfam family: Bacterial small subunit ribosomal RNA
Source: RNAcentral